RNAcentral lists this ribosomal RNA (253 nucleotides) under uncultured bacterium. RNAcentral's name for it is "partial 16S ribosomal RNA". It matches the Rfam family "Bacterial small subunit ribosomal RNA", at positions 524 to 776 of the family's 1533-position model. The record is from RNAcentral.
UACGUAGGGUGCGAGCGUUGCCCGGAUUUAUUGGGCGUAAAGGGCGCGUAGGCGGCCACGCACGUCCGUUGUGAAAUCGCCCGGCUCAACUGGGCGGGGUCAGCGGAUACGGUGUGGCUCGAGCAAGCUAGGGGGCAAUGGAAUUCCCGGUGUAGUGGUGGAAUGCGUAGAUAUCGGGAGGAACACCAGUGGCGAAGGCGGUUGCCUGGAGCUUUGCUGACGCUGAGGCGCGAAAGCGUGGGGAGCGAUACGG